This 200-nucleotide ribosomal RNA is filed under the name uncultured prokaryote. Its description in RNAcentral is "partial 16S ribosomal RNA". It matches the Rfam family "Bacterial small subunit ribosomal RNA", at positions 1183 to 1382 of the family's 1533-position model. The record is from RNAcentral.
CGUCAAAUCAUCAUGCCCCUUAUGACCUGGGCUACACACGUGCUACAAUGGCCACGACAGAGAGAGGCGAAUUCGAGAGGAAGAGCGGAUCUCAGAAAAGUGGUCCCAGUUCGGAUUGUGGGCUGCAACCCGCCCACAUGAAGUCGGAGUUGCUAGUAAUCGCGGAUCAGCAUGCCGCGGUGAAUACGUUCCCGGGCCUU